This 246-nucleotide unclassified non-coding RNA is filed under the name Ricasolia sp. RNAcentral describes it as "partial contains 5.8S ribosomal RNA, internal transcribed spacer 2, and large subunit ribosomal RNA". The record is from RNAcentral. Lineage: Eukaryota; Fungi; Ascomycota; Lecanoromycetes; Peltigerales; Lobariaceae.
CGCACAUUGCGCCCCUUGGCAUUCCGAGGGGCAUACCUGUCCGAGCGUCAUUACCCCCGUCAAGCCCCGGCUUGUCGUUGGGCCCCGGCCUGCCCUGGCCCGCCCGAAAGAAAGCGACGGUCUCGCGUCCGACCCCCGAAGCAAGCGUACAGGCACAGGCUCACGCUGCGAGGGGCCGGCCGGGAUCGGUGUCAACCGUUGAUCCAUGUUGACCUCGGAUCAGGUAGGAAUACCCGCUGAACUUAA